Molecule: RNA transcript, 4048 nt
Organism: Mangifera indica (mango)
Lineage: Eukaryota; Viridiplantae; Streptophyta; Magnoliopsida; Sapindales; Anacardiaceae
Gene name: kinesin-like protein KIN-7D, mitochondrial
Exons: 26
Source: RefSeq, a predicted model, not a curated record
CUCACCACUCACCGGUUAACAGAAAAUUUCUGCUAGUCUUCGCAACUCCACUCUCAUUCUCUCUCUGCAAUGCUUGCUUUACCUUGAAGAAGAAGAAACAAUCAACUCACCAUAACAGGUCUAUUUUAGCAAAUAAAAAGAAAAAAAAAAAAGAAAUGAAAACAAUCUUCUUCGCUUUUAUGUAUCAAGCCAUGUGAGUUCACUGACACAUUCUCCUCUCCUCCUCCCCCUCCUUUCCAUCAAUCGUUUUCUCAUUUGCCGACACGCCAAUUCGACUCAACUCAAUGGCGUCAUCAUCACGAGCUCGUAGCAGUUCACCGUUCUCGUACCGUAAGCCUUCGAGUCCGUACUCCUCCACUUCAUCUUCCUCUUCAUUCAUGAAUAACCGUCUCAUGCCUCGCUCGUGCUCGUCCUCUGCUUCUUCUCACUUCAAUUCGGGGAAUGGAUUCAGUUCCCGAUCCAUGACGCCGAGCCGUUCACGUUCAGAGUCAAUGUACCCCGGUCCGCGUAGUUACAGUGCACGCGCAGCACAACCGGUGAGCUUCCCUUCCGAGGAAUUGAUCACAGAACCGUUCGAUGCGCCGCAAAGGUCCGGCGAUAGCAUUUCCGUCACUAUUAGGUUUCGGCCGUUGAGUGACAGGGAGUUUCAAAGGGGAGAUGAGAUCUCAUGGUACGCAGAUGGGGAUAAAAUUGUGAGAAAUGAGUAUAAUCCAGCAACUGCUUAUGCAUUUGAUAGAGUUUUUGGACCACACGCGAAUUCACAGGAGGUGUAUGAUAUAGCUGCAAAGCCCGUAGUCAAGGCUGCGAUGGAAGGUGUUAAUGGGACUGUUUUCGCAUAUGGUGUUACAAGUAGUGGGAAGACGCACACUAUGCAUGGAGAUCAAAAUUCUCCGGGAAUUAUACCAUUGGCCAUAAAGGAUGUGUUCAGCAGCAUCCAAGAUACUCCAGGAAGAGAGUUCUUACUCCGUGUGUCAUAUCUUGAAAUUUACAAUGAGGUGAUAAAUGACUUGCUUGAUCCAAUUGGUCAAAAUUUGCGCAUUAGAGAAGAUGCUCAGGGCACUUAUGUUGAGGGAAUAAAAGAAGAAGUGGUCUUGUCUCCUGGGCAUGCACUUUCUUUCAUUGCAGCUGGAGAAGAACAUCGUCAUGUUGGCUCAAAUAAUUUUAAUUUGUUCAGUAGCCGCAGUCACACCAUAUUUACACUGAUGAUUGAAAGUAGUGCCUGUGGUGAUGAGUAUGAUGGAGUAAUAUUCUCUCAACUGAAUUUGAUUGACCUUGCUGGAUCCGAGAGUUCAAAAACUGAAACAACUGGACUAAGGAGAACAGAAGGAUCUUACAUAAACAAAAGCCUUCUUACUCUGGGAACUGUAAUUGGAAAGUUGAGUGAGGGGAAGGCAUCUCAUGUUCCCUAUAGGGAUUCCAAGCUAACUCGUCUUCUCCAAUCUUCUCUGAGUGGACAUGGACAUGUUUCGCUUAUAUGUACAGUUACUCCUGCUUCAAGUAAUAUGGAAGAAACUCAUAAUACACUGAAGUUUGCAAGCAGGGCAAAGCGAGUGGAAAUUUAUGCAUCACGUAAUAAGAUUAUUGAUGAGAAAUCAUUAAUAAAGAAAUAUCAAAGGGAAGUUUCAACCCUCAAGCAAGAACUUCAUCAACUGAGGCAGGGAAUGCUUGCUGGUGUUAGUCAUGAAGAGAUUCUGACCUUAAGACAAAAGUUAGAAGAAGGUCAAGUGAAAAUGCAGUCAAGAUUGGAGGAGGAAGAGGAAGCCAAAGCAGCUCUUAUGAGCAGAAUCCAAAGGCUAACUAAGCUUAUACUUGUUUCUACAAAGAAUUCAAUUCCUGGAUUAAGUGAUGUGCCCAGUCAUCAACGGAGUCAUUCUGUUGGUGAGGAUGAUUUGGAAUUGUUGCAAGAGGGUUCUUUGCUUAUAGAUUGUGAUAGUCAAAAGGACUCAACAUCUGCUUCAGCACUUCCAUCAGAUGUGUCUUAUGAUUUUAAACAUCUAAGAUCAUCAAGCAAGUGGAAUGAAGAAUUCUCGCCAGCAAGCAGUACAGUUACUGAAUCAACUCAAGCGCUUGAACUUAAUAGCACAAAGCUUCCAGCAGGUGGGAUGACGUCAGACCAGAUGGACCUUCUCAUUGAGCAAGUAAAGAUGCUUGCUGGGGAGAUUGCAUUCAGUACCAGUAACCUAAAACGCCUGAUGGAUCAGUCUACCAAUGAUCCUGAUAACUCAAAAGUUCAAAUCCAGAACUUGGAACAAGAGAUCCAAGAAAAGAGAAGGAAAAUGCAGGUUCUGGAAAAACGCAUAAUUGAGAGUGGAGAGGCUUCAAUGGCUAAUGCAUCCAUGGUCGACAUGCAGCAGACAGUUAUGAGGCUGAUGACCCAAUGUAAUGAAAAAGGUUUUGAGUUGGAGAUAAAAUCAGCAGAUAACCGUAUUCUGCAGGAACAACUUCAGAAAAAGUGUUCUGAAAACAAAGAAUUGCAGGAGAAGGUGAAUCUUCUAGAGCAGCAAUUGGCUUCAGUGACCAGUGAUAAAUCAUCUGUGUCUUCUGAGCAGGGUGUCUCUGAGGAACAUGUUGAUGAGUUGAGAAGAAAAGUUCAAUCACAGGUGUUUGAGAACGAAAAAGUAAAGCUUGCACACGUGCAACUUUCUGAGGAGAACAGUGGACUACUUGUGCAAAACCAGAAAUUGGCUGAAGAAGCUUCUUAUGCGAAAGAACUUGCAUCUGCUGCUGCUGUUGAACUGAAGAAUUUGGCUGGUGAAGUGACCAAGCUCUCAUUGCAGAAUGCAAAACUAGAAAAAGAAUUGCUGGCUGCUCAAGAAUUGGCACAUUCUAGAGGUUCUGCUGUUCCAACAGUUAAUGGUGUCAACCGUAAGUAUGGUGAUGGCACAAGACCUGGGAGGAAAGGGUGCCUUUCUAGGAGGUCUAAUGACAUUUCAGGGAUGGGCUUUGAUGACUUUGAUGCAUGGAAUCUUGAUCCAGAUGAUUUAAAGAUGGAACUUCAGGCAAGGAAACACAGGGAAGCAGCACUUGAAGCUACCUUAGCUGAAAGGGAAUUACUAGAAGACGAAUUCAGGAAAAAGUUUGAAGAGGCCAAGAAAAGGGAGGAAGCUCUGGAAAAUGAUUUAGCAAAUAUGUGGGUACUUGUUGCUAAGUUAAAGAAAGAAGGAGCUGCUAUCCCGGAGAUAAAUACUGGUGAGAGGCACUGCAUUGGGGAGGAUCAUGCCAGUGAUCCCAAUGCCAUUGAAAUUGAUGGUAAUACUGUCUUGAAAGGAAGGCAAAUUCCAAUCGAUGAGCCAAAACCAGCUGAAGUAAUUCCCAGGGAAGAACCCUUGGUAGCUCGCCUGAAGGCUCGAAUGCAAGAGAUGAAGGAAAAAGAGCAACAAAACCUUGGAAAUGGAGAUGGCAACUCCCGCAUGUGUAAAAUUUGUUUUGAAUCACCUACUGCUGCAAUUCUUCUCCCUUGCAGGCAUUUUUGUUUGUGUAAAUCUUGUUCGCUUGCCUGCUCUGAGUGUCCAAUUUGUUGUACAAAGAUUUCAGAUAGGCUUUUUGCUUUUACUUCUUGAAAGUGCUAUUUAUGCCCUCCGAGUGAAGUUGCAGGGUUUCUUAUCUCUUAUCUUGGUGCCAUUUACCGCGCAAUAGCGGGCGCAAUUCUUUCAUUAGUUUGCUUGUAUGCAGCUGUCUAAAAGGCAUGCGACUUGUCCCACAUCUGAAGUAUGAGAUUUAGUGUGGGAUUUAUACGAGGUUUGGGCGCUUUACAAUCAGAAAUUAGGUUUUGGCGCGUGGUUGGAAUGCUACAAUCACCUAUUGCUGGGUUAGGUUGACAUCUCAAUGUUCCUUGCCCUUCUGGGUAUGAACCUUCAAAUUGGGGUCCAAGUUUUGAUGGAUGCAUGGUGUGCACGAUUUGAUGAACUUAAUUUGGGUGUACCUAAAUCAGCGUGAUGGGGACGAAUAAGAUUAGGUUUAAGCUUAAUUAAGUUUGAAAUGGGUUGGUUUUUUAGUUCAAUUGGAAUUAUAAAUGAUUAGUUUAAAUUUGACCUUAAGUUUGUUUGAA